This 69-nucleotide transfer RNA is filed under the name Bos taurus (domestic cattle). It matches the Rfam family "tRNA". Rfam says of the family: Transfer RNA (tRNA) molecules are approximately 80 nucleotides in length. The record is from Rfam by way of RNAcentral. RNAcentral also lists the same sequence under 1 other name. Lineage: Eukaryota; Metazoa; Chordata; Mammalia; Artiodactyla; Bovidae.
CCUGGUAGCUCAGUUGGUAAAGAAUCUGCCUGCGGUGCAGGAGACCCGGGUUCGAUCCCCGGGUCAGGA